GACGAACGCUGGCGGCGUGCCUAAUACAUGCAAGUAGAACGCUGAAGGAGGAGCUUGCUUCUCUGGAUGAGUUGCGAACGGGUGAGUAACGCGUAGGUAACCUGCCUGGUAGCGGGGGAUAACUAUUGGAAACGAUAGCUAAUACCGCAUAAGAGUAGAUGUUGCAUGACAUUUGCUUAAAAGGUGCAAUUGCAUCACUACCAGAUGGACCUGCGUUGUAUUAGCUAGUUGGUGGGGUAACGGCUCACCAAGGCGACGAUACAUAGCCGACCUGAGAGGGUGAUCGGCCACACUGGGACUGAGACACGGCCCAGACUCCUACGGGAGGCAGCAGUAGGGAAUCUUCGGCAAUGGACGGAAGUCUGACCGAGCAACGCCGCGUGAGUGAAGAAGGUUUUCGGAUCGUAAAGCUCUGUUGUAAGAGAAGAACGAGUGUGAGAGUGGAAAGUUCCCACUGUGACGGUAUCUUACCAGAAAGGGACGGCUAACUACGUGCCAGCAGCCGCGGUAAUACGUAGGUCCCGAGCGUUGUCCGGAUUUAUUGCGCGUAAAGCGAGCGCAGGCGGUUAGAUAAGUCUGAAGUUAAAGGCUGUGGCUUAACCAUAGUACGCUUUGGAAACUGUUUAACUUGAGUGCAAGAGGGGAGAGUGGAAUUCCAUGUGUAGCGGUGAAAUGCGUAGAUAUAUGGAGGAACACCGGUGGCGAAAGCGGCUCUCUGGCUUGUAACUGACGCUGAGGCUCGAAAGCGUGGGGAGCAAACAGG
Molecule: ribosomal RNA, 763 nt
Filed under: uncultured Streptococcus sp.
Lineage: Bacteria; Bacillati; Bacillota; Bacilli; Lactobacillales; Streptococcaceae
Description: bacterial SSU rRNA
Rfam family: Bacterial small subunit ribosomal RNA
Source: RNAcentral